ACUGGUUCCGAGCAGCAUUUUGCAAAACUUGAGAUGAACACGCUCUAGUGGGUCUGCACUCGCAUCAUUUUUGUUAUCUGCGCCCCAUAUUUCACUGCCGUAAAGCAGAAUUGGUUUAUUAAUAAAAUGAGGGACAAAAA
Long non-coding RNA from Nematostella vectensis (starlet sea anemone), 140 nucleotides. RefSeq lists it as uncharacterized. NCBI's taxonomy places the organism in Eukaryota, Metazoa, Cnidaria, Anthozoa, Actiniaria, Edwardsiidae. The transcript is spliced from 2 exons. The record is from RefSeq and is a predicted model, not a curated record.